This 497-nucleotide ribosomal RNA is filed under the name uncultured bacterium. RNAcentral's name for it is "partial 16S ribosomal RNA". It matches the Rfam family "Bacterial small subunit ribosomal RNA", at positions 28 to 507 of the family's 1533-position model. The record is from RNAcentral.
GAUGAACGCUGGCGGCGUGCCUAAUACAUGCAAGUCGAGCGAACAGACGAGGAGCUUGCUCCUCUGACGUUAGCGGCGGCCGGGUGAGUAACACGUGGAUAACCUACCUAUAAGACUGGGAUAACUUCGGGAAACCGGAGCUAAUACCGGAUAAUAUAUUGAACCGCAUGGUUCAAUAGUGAAAGACGGUUUUGCUGUCACUUAUAGAUGGAUCCGCGCCGCAUUAGCUAGUUGGUAAGGUAACGGCUUACCAAGGCAACGAUGCGUAGCCGACCUGAGAGGGUGAUCGGCCACACUGGAACUGAGACACGGUCCAGACUCCUGCGGGAGGCAGCAGUAGGGAAUCUUCCGCAAUGGGCGAAAGCUUGACGGAGCAACGCCGCGUGAGUGAUGAAGGUCUUCGGAUCGUAAAACUCUGUUAUUAGGGAAGAACAAAUGUGUAAGUAACUAUGCACGUCUUGACGGUACCUAAUCAGAAAGCCACGGCUAACUACGUG